This 353-nucleotide unclassified non-coding RNA is filed under the name Hevea brasiliensis (rubber tree). The record is from RNAcentral. Lineage: Eukaryota; Viridiplantae; Streptophyta; Magnoliopsida; Malpighiales; Euphorbiaceae.
UUUCUUUCCUUAUCCUUACUCAUCUCCAUCCACCUACAACACCUCUUACUGGUCACUUCUUAUGUAAUGUUUCUCUUUUUUAUUUUAUUUUUUGACAUGUGACACCACCAUGUAAUUUUCUUAUUGGAAAUUUGACCAAAUUAUGAUGAGAGAUUUUAGCAUAACAUUUUCAAAAUUUAGGGAUUUUGUGGUAACAAAAUGAUGAUGAGAGAUGGAAAUGAAAUACCUCCCAAAGUUGAGGGAUAACUGGUAAAAAUUACUCAUUAUCUUUUCUUUUAUCUUUGAUAGAAUAGAUGAUCACAUUUUUAUAUAUAAACAUCUCUAAAAUUGUCCAAACUAAUUAAGAAUACAAA